AUCGCAUUCAAUAUCCAUAGGUAC
RNAcentral lists this non-coding RNA (24 nucleotides) under Arabidopsis thaliana (thale cress). The record is from RNAcentral. Lineage: Eukaryota; Viridiplantae; Streptophyta; Magnoliopsida; Brassicales; Brassicaceae.